GCUCCUGUAGCUCAGUGGCGUAGAGCGGUCGCACUAGGAGCGAUGCGUCGCAGGUUCAAAUCCUGCCGCGCGGGGGCA
Molecule: non-coding RNA, 78 nt
Organism: Cymbomonas tetramitiformis
Lineage: Eukaryota; Viridiplantae; Chlorophyta; Pyramimonadophyceae; Pyramimonadales; Pyramimonadaceae
Source: the annotation of a GenBank genome assembly